UAUGCUCCUCAAGACAUUGCAGGUGUGGCUGCUGUGUCACAUCUGCGUCACUAGGCUGCAGAGAGAAUUGAGGCUAUGUCUACACUCAGUGUUCCCACCCGUGAACACCUGAAUGAUUAGUAGCCUGACAUGG
Small nucleolar RNA from Chinchilla lanigera (long-tailed chinchilla), 133 nucleotides. NCBI's taxonomy places the organism in Eukaryota, Metazoa, Chordata, Mammalia, Rodentia, Chinchillidae. The record is from Ensembl.